RNAcentral lists this ribosomal RNA (388 nucleotides) under uncultured bacterium. Its description in RNAcentral is "bacterial SSU rRNA". It matches the Rfam family "Bacterial small subunit ribosomal RNA", at positions 29 to 408 of the family's 1533-position model. The record is from RNAcentral.
AACGAACGCUGGCGGCGCGCCUAAUACAUGCAAGUCGAGCGAGAAGACGUAGCAAUACGUUUGUAAAGCGGCGAACGGGUGAGGAAUACAUGGGUAACCUACCCUCGAGUGGGGAAUAGCUAGCCGAAAGGUUAGCUAAUACCGCGUACGCUCCUUGGACUUCGGUUCAGGGAGGAAAGCGAUACCGUGGGUAUCGCGCUCUUGGAUGGGCUCAUGUCCUAUCAGCUUGUGGUGAGGUAACGGCUCACCAAGGCUUCGACGGGUAGCUGGUCUGAGAGGACGAUCAGCCACACUGGCACUGCGACACGGGCCAGACUCCUACGGGAGGCAGCAGUAAGGAAUAUUGCGCAAUGGGCGAAAGCCUGACGCAGCGACGCCGCGUGGGGGA